Long non-coding RNA from Eriocheir sinensis (Chinese mitten crab), 1957 nucleotides. RefSeq lists it as uncharacterized. The record is from RefSeq and is a predicted model, not a curated record. The transcript is spliced from 3 exons. Lineage: Eukaryota; Metazoa; Arthropoda; Malacostraca; Decapoda; Varunidae.
UCUCUUUCUUUCUCUUAUUAUUAUCAUUAUCAAUCGUUCAACAUCCUUAUUCUUUCCCUUUAUACUGAUCAAAACUAUCCAUAAACAUUUAAGUGCAAACAGCUAACUAGUUUAUUGCACAUAUUUACUUCUCAUUCCACUAAGUAUAAACAAUAAAAAAGAAGUCAAAUAAUACACAAAUACAUGAUUGGAUAAACUAUAAUACUUCUUCACUCACGAGAUUGCACAAAUUUAUAUAAGCGAGAGAGAGAGAGAGAGAGAGAGAGAGAGAGAGAGAGAGAGAGAGAGAGAGAGAGAGAGAGAGAGAGAGAGAGAGAGAGAGAGAGAGAGAGAGAGAGAGAGAGAGAGAGAGAGAGAGAGAGAGAGAGAGAAUAAAUCUUCACUCACGAGAUUGCACAAAUUUAUAUGAGAGAGAGAGAGAGAGAGAGAGAAAGAGAGAAAGCAAUGCAUAUAUGGCUUAGCUUACAACCUCUUACAGUAGAAUACAAAGGCAACAAAUCACAAACUCAAUAACAUUAUUACGCCGGAGACUCAAGAGUAUUAAGUAAAGGGAGAAUCAAUUAUCAUGAGACACAGGUCGGCAUUAUAAGACAGUUCCGCUUCUCACAUCAGCUCUAUUUCUGAAGGCCAAAAAGGAGGUCAAUCGGGUUUUCCUGAGUGUGUUUUUAGGUUCAUGGUACAGAGGAAGGGUCAAACUACCACCAGGGUCAUAAAACUGUCCCUGGAACUGCCCACAACUCCUACGAAAGCCAUGUUAAAUAUGUGUUUCUUAGGUUCAUGGUACAGAGAAAGGGUCAAACUACCACCAGGGUCAUAAAACUGUCCCUGGAACUGCCCACAACUCCUACGAAAGCCAUGUUAAAUAUGUGUUUCUUAGGUUCAUGGUACAGAGAAAGGGUCAAACUACCACCAGGGUCAUAAAACUGUCCCUGGAACUGCCCACAACUCCUACGAAAGCCAUGUUAAAUAUGUGUUUCUUAGGUUCAUGGUACAGAGAAAGGGUCAAACUACCACCAGGGUCAUAAAACUGGUCCUGGAAAUGCCCACAACUCCUGCGAAAGCCAUGUUAAAUAUGUGUUUCUUAGCUUCAUGGUACGGAGGAGGGGUCACACUACCACCAGGGUUAUAAAACUAUCCCUGGAAAUGCUCACAAAUCCUGCGAAAGCCAUGUCAAAUAUGUGAACUUGGGCGACGGAAUGUUUUAUAAUACGAUCCAUAUAAUCCGAGUAUAUAAGGGAUUACGUUUGUCUUUGGUACCAGACUUCAAAUACAUGAAUUGUUUACGAUCGACGACACGUUCCGAGCGAGAAAUACUGAAAGAAAACUUAAGUGUAAACAAGUAAAUUCAGACUGCACCAAAUUUCUCCUCACCAACGUUGUAGCGCGAGAAUGGAACAAACUCCCGCCCUCAUUGGUCCAGUGCAGCACGAUUGACUUCUUUAACCUGGUAGCUGCGGGGAUCAUGUUUCUUGAAGGUCCCUCUAAGCGAGAAAAAUGAAAAAAAUCAUCACUCACGCAAACCAUUUCAUAAUAUAUAUAUCAACACAUUUGUGAUCAGUUCAUGCAUCCUCUAUUUUGGGGGGUUUAUAUCAUGGCAAAAAUUUGGCCCGUCGCUGCUACCGGGUUAAAGGUCCCUCUAAGCGAGAAAAUGAGAAAAAAUCAUCACUCACGCAAGCCAUUUCAAAAUAUAUAUAUCAACGCAUUUGUGAUCAGUUCAUGCAUCAUCUAUUUUGGGGGGCAGUUAUAUUAUGGCAAAAAUUUGGCCCGUCACUGCUACUGGGUUAAAGGUCCCUCUAAGCGAGAAAAUGACAAAAAUCAUCACUCACGCAAACCAUUUCAAAAUAUAUAUAUCAACACAUUUGUGAUCAGUUUAUGCAUCAUCUAUUUUGGGGGGUUUAUAUUAUGGCAAAAAUUUGGCCCGUCGCUGCUACCGGGUUAAAAACAAGCUUGGCCGACA